AAAAACCCUACAUUUGAUGAAAAGAUAGUAGUUGUUCUGAGCCACCGCUGACGAGCCUGGUUUUCUUCCCAGUUUUUUGAACUAAGCUCAGUGCGAAAGAAAAGAUAUCUCUUUCCAAUUCAUUUUGCCCCUCAAGGGUUAACAAUGAAGGCGUUUGAAGUUGGUGGAACCACCCUUUGUCUUGCCCUUUUCAGCGAUGUUACUAAUUCUAAAGAACUAUUGGACUUAAUGCAGUCUGCAACACUGGAGCCAGAAGUAGCAUUUCUGAAUGCAUCACUUAUCCCGGAUGUAUUUCCUGUUUUAGCAGCUGCACACAAGACACUUGUAGCUAAAUCACGGGAUUCACUGACUACACGGACCCCCCAUUCUGAGCUUGUUUACAACUUCUCAGGAUCUAAGCAUAUUUCAGAGUCUUUGAAAAGAUGUGGUAUCGCAGACAACACAAGCUACAUCCUGGCAGCACGCUUUGGUGCUUCAGCUGAUGAGAUGGUGGCCAUAGAAAAACUCAUAAAGGGCAAUGAGAUUGACCUGAAGGAAUUAGAACAAAGAAUAAACCAGGCUCAGAUUCAAAAGCAUUACAAGAUAUCUAAUCUGGAGCUGGAGAUAUCGUCACUUGCAGAUGCUAUAACCUGCAGAAUUGCUGCCAGAGACGCUUUAUAAGCAUUGCACGCCUAUUGCACUAUUCAUUUCAUCUUUUUAUGUGUAAACUAUUAUGUCAGGAUCUCGACAAUAACUUUCCCAACCUUGUGUGAGAUACCAUUCCAUAGAUUUAGAAACCUCCCUUCAUGCUGUUGUGAUUGUUUUUACCUUGGCUUGCUUGUUUUUUACGUCUUGAUAAAUUUUGCAAAAACUAAUCAU
This 858-nucleotide unclassified non-coding RNA is filed under the name Hevea brasiliensis (rubber tree). The record is from RNAcentral. Lineage: Eukaryota; Viridiplantae; Streptophyta; Magnoliopsida; Malpighiales; Euphorbiaceae.